GACAGAGGGUGCAAACGUUGCUCGGAAUCACUGGGCUUAAAGGGCGCGUAGGCGGGCCCGAAAGUCAGGGGUGAAAGCCCACGGCUCAACCGUGGAAGUGCCUCUGAUACUUCGGGCCUCGAGGGGGGUAGGGGCGUGCGGAACUUCCGGUGGAGCGGUGAAAUGCGUAGAUAUCGGAAGGAACGUCGGUGGCGAAAGCGGCGCGCUGGACCUCUUCUGACGCUGAGGCGCGAAAGCCAGGGGAGCGAACGGG
Molecule: ribosomal RNA, 253 nt
Filed under: uncultured bacterium
Lineage: Bacteria
Description: partial 16S ribosomal RNA
Rfam family: Bacterial small subunit ribosomal RNA
Source: RNAcentral